AAAUUGAAGAGUUUGAUCAUGGCUCAGAUUGAACGCUGGCGGCAGGCCUAACACAUGCAAGUCGAGCGGCAGCGGGAAAGUAGCUUGCUACUUUUGCCGGCGAGCGGCGGACGGGUGAGUAAUGCCUGGGGAUCUGCCCAGUCGAGGGGAAUAACUACUGGAAACGGCAGCUAAUACCGCAUACGCCCUACGGGGGAAAGCAGGGGACCUUCGGGCCUUGCGCGAUUGGAUGAACCCAGGUGGGAUUAGCUAGUUGGUGAGGUAAUGG
Molecule: ribosomal RNA, 268 nt
Filed under: Aeromonas veronii
Lineage: Bacteria; Pseudomonadati; Pseudomonadota; Gammaproteobacteria; Aeromonadales; Aeromonadaceae
Description: partial 16S ribosomal RNA
Rfam family: Bacterial small subunit ribosomal RNA
Source: RNAcentral